Neofelis nebulosa (Clouded leopard) is the source of this 2555-nucleotide long non-coding RNA. RefSeq lists it as uncharacterized. The transcript is spliced from 2 exons. The record is from RefSeq and is a predicted model, not a curated record. NCBI's taxonomy places the organism in Eukaryota, Metazoa, Chordata, Mammalia, Carnivora, Felidae.
GAAGAUCAGCUAGGAAAAUAUGAUCUCACUAUAGGGAAGGACUUCUUAAACAGGAAACAAAAGUACUAACCACGAAGAAAAGAAUAUUACAUUAUACCCCCUUAGAGGAGGCAUUUUCUCUUAAGCUAUUUUGCAACAUCCACGCUUCUAGGCUCUUUCUUCCUUAAUUUGGGAAGGAGAAAAUAUUAGUGAAUGUCAACUUAAAAUGAAAAAGGGGUUGAAAAGUCUGUGCUGAAAUCUGACCUCGAUCUCACCCGAGGUCAGAUUUUUAGGUUCAGACCUUCUUUUCUUCUCUCUUUCCUUCUAGUUCCUAAGUGAGAAUAAUAAAAGUGUUAAGAUACCUUUUCCCAUUUUAUCUAUGGAUAUAGAAAACAAAUUUGUUUAUUGUGUUAAAAAACUACGAGUUUCAGAGGAGUUUCAAUUAUAAACUUAAGGAUUUAACUUUUUUUUCUUUUCAGAUUUUUAUUUAAAUUCUAGUUAGUUAACAUGCAGUGCAACAUUGGUUUCAGCAGCAGGAUUCAGUGAUUCAUCAAUUGCAUACAGUACCCAGGGCUCAUCACAACAGGUGCCCUCCUGAUACUCAUCACCCAUCCAGCCCAUCCCCCACCCUCAGUUUGUUCUAGAUCUUUAAGGGUCUCUUAAGGUUUGUUUCCCUCUUUUUUCUUUUUUUUCCCCUGCUUUCCAUAUGUUAAUUUAUUUUGUUUCUUAAAUUCCACAUGUGAGUGAAAACAUAGGAUAUUUGUCUUUCUCUGACUUAUUUCACUUAGCAUAACACACUCUAGCUCCAUCCAUGUCAUUGCAAAUGGCAAGCUUUCAUUCUUUUUGAUGGCCGAGUAAUACUCCAUUGUAUAUAUAUACCACAUUUUCUUUAUCCAUUCAUCCAUCGAUGGACAUUUGGGAAAGAUGUUAACUUUUCACAUGAAAACGUCAGUAUUUCUUCUUAUAAAAUAACUCUUCUCCCCAGCACUUUUCGCAGAAAAUGUCUACAAGCAAUGACAAUCCAUGAGCAGUGAGAAUUGCCAUCACCCAGAUUGUUUCCCAACCCUUUUCCGGAGAGCAAACUCGGCUAAUUUGGACAUUUGGAUAAGGGUUACGCUUUAAAAUAGAUCUGAGAGACAUAGCAACCAAUGGAAUCCUACUUCAGAUAGAAUAAAUUAUUGUAAAAAAGUAUUCGAGGCAAUUGAGGGGUUUUCUUUGUAAGCACUAGAUAUUGGAUGAUGUUACAGAUCAUCACUUCUAAAUUUAGGUGCGAGGAUCUUGUGUUUUGUUCAACUCUGCAUCUGUUGGGACUUUUGUGACAAUAUUCAUGGUUGACGUAAUACGUGGUUUCUUUACACUGUCCCCCUUCCGCCCAAUGUAGGCGCGGAGAGUGACACCCUGUGGGCGAGACGCUGUAACUGAGGAGGACUUGUGUAGCUUCCAUCCCGCCUCAGUCCCUUCCCUGCCUGCCUCCCCGACUUUUGUAAGUGAGCCCGGUUAUCGAAGCUAUUUCUCUUUGGGACAAAGGGUGACACAGACAGCGACUCCAGCGACUGAUCCGCAGGAACAGGCAGAGGGGUCGGCAAGCGGGGAGGGGCUCCCGGCCAGGUCUCCUCCUCCCACCCCGCCCCCAACCACCCUCGCCCGCGCCCGGGGAGAGCGUUGGACUCUGUCGGCACCUUGUGGCCAUUUUGGGUAAUGCAGCUAGAGCUUUGUUUUAUUUCCGGUUUCUAUCCGUCCGCUGCGAAGGUUUAAUAAUUGCUUAUAUAAAGAACACAAGAAAGAGCCCUGCUCCCACCGUCCUCCUCGACCGCCGAGCUCCCCCAUCGAUCACAAAGAAGCACGUUCACCAGUUUGGGGUGCAGCCAUCUGGAACUUCUUUAUACAAACAGAAACAUCAACGUGUACUCUCAGCCCCCACCCCCAACCCCCCACUUUAACUCAAAUGACCAGCGGUGAUGUUCUUCUCACGGUUCUCCUGCCUACUUUUCUCAUUAUCUAGCUUGGAACUCUUUCCUUGCUAACUAGCGCGGCUGAAACUUCUCGGCAGGUGCACCCUAGUGACCUGAGGCAGGUAACCUGAGACCAGACCUGUUCCUACACGGCAGCCCCUGCAUGUGAGCCUCUCCUUCAGUUACCCAUUUCUCGGUAAAUCACUCAUUCUCCUGGAGCCCUAAUGUCACCCUCCCUCCACGGCGCUGCGGAGAACAGAGGCAAGAGGGAAAUGACAGGCCCCGUGAACACAACCUUGGAAGAAUGGCCUCCUCCGUGCAGAAGGAGUAGAACCAGAGACCUUCCAAACUACUUUCGUAAACUCAGAAAGUAUCCUCGCCGGUUUCCUUCUGUUCUAUUCUGAUAACAGGGCAAGUUGGUAGUUUACACAUCGUGUUUGGACUUUCCAGCAUGAUUGAUUCAAAUGCCACUUUAAAAUAUUUUUAUUUAUGUGCUUGAUAAAAAAAAAAACCCAUCUUAUGUAAAGAAGUGACAAACUGGAGAUGAACAAACCACAGUAUAUUUGAAUUUAUGACUUUGUAUGUGAAUUUAAUAUAUUUUCAUUAAUUAUGCUACGAAGUCAA